AGUGAACGCUGGCGGUAGGCCUAACACAUGCAAGUCGAACGGCAGCACAGUAAGAGCUUGCUCUUACGGGUGGCGAGUGGCGGACGGGUGAGGAAUACAUCGGAAUCUACUUUUUCGUGGGGGAUAACGUAGGGAAACUUACGCUAAUACCGCAUACGACCUACGGGUGAAAGCAGGGGAUCUUCGGACCUUGCGCGAUUGAAUGAGCCGAUGUCGGAUUAGUUAGUUGGCGGGGUAAAGGCCCACCAAGGCGACGAUCCGUAGCUGGUCUGAGAGGAUGAUCAGCCACACUGGAACUGAGACACGGUCCAGACUCCUACGGGAGGCAGCAGUGGGGAAUAUUGGACAAAGGGCGCAAGCCUGAUCCAGCCAUACCGCGUGGGUGAAGAAGGCCUUCGGGUUGUAAAGCCCUUUUGUUGGGAAAGAAAAGCAGCAGGUUAAUACCCCGCUGUUCUGACGGUACCCAAAGAAUAAGCACCGGCUAACUUCGUG
RNAcentral lists this ribosomal RNA (492 nucleotides) under uncultured bacterium. RNAcentral describes it as "partial 16S ribosomal RNA". It matches the Rfam family "Bacterial small subunit ribosomal RNA", at positions 29 to 507 of the family's 1533-position model. The record is from RNAcentral.